Non-coding RNA from Trichonephila inaurata madagascariensis, 74 nucleotides. Lineage: Eukaryota; Metazoa; Arthropoda; Arachnida; Araneae; Nephilidae. The record is from the annotation of a GenBank genome assembly.
UCCUCAGUAGUAUAGUGGUCCAGUAUCACCGCCUGGAACGCGGGAGACCGGGGUUCGAUUUCCCUCCUGGGGAA